This 245-nucleotide unclassified non-coding RNA is filed under the name fungal sp. RNAcentral describes it as "partial internal transcribed spacer region". The stretch from base 1 to 46 matches the Rfam family "Eukaryotic small subunit ribosomal RNA", at positions 1786 to 1831 of the family's 1831-position model. Lineage: Eukaryota; Fungi. The record is from RNAcentral.
AAGUCGUAACAAGGUUUCCGUAGGUGAACCUGCGGAAGGAUCAUUAUGAAUCUUCGGUAUAUGCUUUUAAGGAAGGAUCAGAGUUUAACCACACUAUAGUGGAUCUGUGAAUUUCUUUCAAGCUAUACCAAACCCCACUUUGUGAACUAUUUAGUAACCUUGGGUAAAACCAUGGUUGUCCACGUUGUAUAAAUUGUCUUAUUUUCUUAAUAAUACAACUUUUAGCAAUGGAUCUCUUGGCUCUC